AGUGAACGCUGGCGGUAGGCCUAACACAUGCAAGUCGAGCGGCAGCACAGUAAGAGCUUGCUCUUACGGGUGGCGAGUGGCGGACGGGUGAGGAAUACAUCGGAAUCUACUUUUUCGUGGGGGAUAACGUAGGGAAACUUACGCUAAUACCGCAUACGACCUACGGGUGAAAGCAGGGGAUCUUCGGACCUUGCGCGAUUGAAUGAGCCGAUGUCGGAUUAGCUAGUUGGCGGGGUAAAGGCCCACCAAGGCGACGAUCCGUAGCUGGUCUGAGAGGAUGAUCAGCCACACUGGAACUGAGACACGGUCCAGACUCCUACGGGAGGCAGCAGUGGGGAAUAUUGGACAAUGGGCGCAAGCCUGACCCAGCCAUACCGCGUGGGUGAAGAAGGCCUUCGGGUUGUAAAGCCCUUUUGUUGGGAAAGAAAAGCAGCAGGUUAAUACCCCGCUGUUCUGACGGUACCCAAAGAAUAAGCACCGGCUAACUUCGUG
RNAcentral lists this ribosomal RNA (492 nucleotides) under uncultured bacterium. RNAcentral's name for it is "partial 16S ribosomal RNA". It matches the Rfam family "Bacterial small subunit ribosomal RNA", at positions 29 to 507 of the family's 1533-position model. The record is from RNAcentral.